UGGGACCCCUGAAGACCUC
This 19-nucleotide non-coding RNA is filed under the name Rattus norvegicus (Norway rat). The record is from RNAcentral. Lineage: Eukaryota; Metazoa; Chordata; Mammalia; Rodentia; Muridae.